RNAcentral lists this long non-coding RNA (868 nucleotides) under Numida meleagris (helmeted guineafowl). RNAcentral describes it as "lncRNA (ENSNMEG00000002708.1)". The record is from RNAcentral. Lineage: Eukaryota; Metazoa; Chordata; Aves; Galliformes; Numididae.
UCACUGUCACCGUUCCUGGGAUUGCCGCUGUCACCAGGAUUGUCACCGUCACCGCUGUCACCGUCACUGGGGCUGUCACUGUCACCGGGAUUGUCACCGCUGCUGGGUUUGUCACCAUCACUGGGUUUGUCACAUUGCUGGGUUUGUCACCAUUACCGCUGUCACCGUCACCGGGAUUGUCACCGUUCCUGGGAUUGUCACCGUUACCAUUACUGGGAUCGUCACCGUUAUCACUGUCACCAUUACUGGGACUGUCACCAUUACUGGGAUCGUCACCGUUAUCACUGUCACCGUUACUGGGAUUGUCACCAUUACUGGGACUGUCACCAUUAUCACCUUCACCGUCACUGGGAUUGUCACCAUUAUUGUGUCACCAUUACUGAGGCUGUCACCGUUACUGAGAUUGUCACCGUUACUGGGAUUGUCACCAUUACUGGGACUCUCACCAUUAUCACCUUCACCGUCACUGGGAUUGUCACCAUUAUUGUGUCACCAUUACUGGGACUGUCACCGUUACCACCAUCACCGUUUCUGGGAUUGUCACCAUUAUUGUGUCACCAUUAGUGAGGCUCUCACCGUUACCACUGUCACCAUUACUGGGACUGUCACCAUUAUCACCAUCACCAUUAGUGGGAUUGUCACCAUUACUGGGACCAUCCCCAUCCCCGUGCAGAGCAGCAGGAGAGGUGUGGUGAGUGUGAGUGUGGGGGUCACGUUGGUGGUGGGUGUGCAACAGGUGUGAGCACGGCGUCGUGCAACACGGGGGGGGUGGUGGGGCAUGGGUGCAAGGCAGGGGUGCGCACAUGGUUGCUCACGUGUAGGUGCAAUGCACACUCUUGUGGACAUGCCUUGCACACACAAUGCACAC